This 214-nucleotide unclassified non-coding RNA is filed under the name Hevea brasiliensis (rubber tree). The record is from RNAcentral. Lineage: Eukaryota; Viridiplantae; Streptophyta; Magnoliopsida; Malpighiales; Euphorbiaceae.
AUUGAAUAAUUUUUUUUUUUUUUAUCCAGUUAUAUUUGAUUUUCAUUCCACUGUUGAAGAGAAGGUGCCACAAACACAAUACAUGAUAUAUAGGAUAAGCUCUUAUUUGAAAGGAUAGACAAGAACAUCAGUCUUCUCAUAGAAGAUUGAUGCCAAAAACACAUCAGAAGACACACGAAAAAAGGAAAAAAUUAUUCAAUUAUUCAAGAGAAAU